UGUACAACUCUGAGCGGUAGAUCACUCGGCUCGUGUGUCGAUGAAGAGCGCAGCCAACUGUGUGAAUUAAUGUGAACUGCAUACUGCUUUGAACAUCGACAUCUUGAACGCAUAUUGCGGCCAUGGGUUAGCCUGUGGCCACGCCUGUCCGAGGGUCGGCU
RNAcentral lists this ribosomal RNA (161 nucleotides) under Dicrocoelium dendriticum. RNAcentral describes it as "5.8S ribosomal RNA". It matches the Rfam family "5.8S ribosomal RNA". Rfam says of the family: 5.8S ribosomal RNA (5.8S rRNA) is a component of the large subunit of the eukaryotic ribosome. It is transcribed by RNA polymerase I as part of the 45S precursor that also contains 18S and 28S rRNA. Functionally, it is thought that 5.8S rRNA may be involved in ribosome translocation. The record is from RNAcentral. Lineage: Eukaryota; Metazoa; Platyhelminthes; Trematoda; Plagiorchiida; Dicrocoeliidae.